RNAcentral lists this ribosomal RNA (603 nucleotides) under uncultured bacterium. RNAcentral describes it as "bacterial SSU rRNA". It matches the Rfam family "Bacterial small subunit ribosomal RNA", at positions 338 to 951 of the family's 1533-position model. The record is from RNAcentral.
CCUACGGGAGGCAGCAGUAAGGAAUAUUGGUCAAUGGGCGCAAGCCUGAACCAGCCAUGCCGCGUGCAGGAAGACGGCCCUAUGGGUUGUAAACUGCUUUUGAACAAGAGAAAACCUCGGUACGUGUACCGAGCUGAUAGUAUUGUUAGAAUAAGCAUCGGCUAACUUCGUGCCAGCAGCCGCGGUAAGACGAAGGAUGCAAGCGUUAUCCGGAUUCAUUGGGUUUAAAGGGUGCGUAGGCGGCCUGAUAAGUCAGUGGUGAAAUCUCUCAGCUUAACUGAGAAACUGCCAUUGAUACUGUCGGGCUUGAGUACAGAUGACGUGGGCGGAAUAUGACAUGUAGUGGUGAAAUACUUAGAUAUGUCAUAGAACACCGAUUGCGAAGGCAGCUCACAAAACUGUAACUGACGCUGAGGCACGAAAGUGCGGGGAUCAAACAGGAUUAGAUACCCUGUAGUCGCACCGUAACGAUGAUACUCGUUGUUGGCAUAUGACCGUCAGCGACCAAGCGAAAGCGAUAGUAAUCACCUGGGAGUACGCGGCGACGUGAAACGUCAAGAAUUAGAGGCGAGAGAGNGCGACGGACGACGACGAGGGAGGAGG